This is a long non-coding RNA of Neofelis nebulosa (Clouded leopard), 1179 nucleotides long. RefSeq lists it as uncharacterized. The record is from RefSeq and is a predicted model, not a curated record. The transcript has 3 exons. NCBI's taxonomy places the organism in Eukaryota, Metazoa, Chordata, Mammalia, Carnivora, Felidae.
GCAGAGGCAGAAGUUACUCUGGGGGUGAAUCUCGGGACACCGCCGAACCGACUGGGAAGGAAAAAAAGGCAACUCAGUGUUGUAUGCAAACGUCGGCAAACAAACAGAAAGCUUUACAAAACACGGAAAGGUGCAUCCAGACUUUACCAGAGCCAGCCUCCCCUCAGGUGUAAGUUCGCGAGGGUAACAGAAUGGCCGGCAUCCACUGAGCCUCUGCUACUACAUUUAGAAAACCUAUAAAGUGGAGCUUACUUAAUAGAAUGCCAGGAAAAUUCCCCAAAGAUGGAGAAACUGGUAACUCAGGUCAGGAAGUGGCAGAACGAGGAUUUGAACCCACAUCUAUCUGUCUACCCAGCCUACAAUUUUUCCAUUCUGCUGAAAGCUGGGAGGAACCUUAGGCAGUGUCUCAUCGGCUGGUUUUCAAACCGGAUUCUAAGGAACGCGAGGCUCUCCAGGAAGUGCUUUAGGAAUCUUUGGGGAAGAACUGGGAAAGAGGACACGUGUCGGGAGGCCAGGUAAGUUGGGCUUGGCCCCAGUCAUUGGAUUCAAACAAAGAAGCUUCAUUUCUAUCUGUUUUAUAGAGUGACUUUAAGUUUUGUUUGAAAUAAGGGUUUUGCUACUAAAAAGUUAUUUUAAAACUCUUGAUCUAGGGGCUCCUAGGUGGCUCAGUAGGUUAAACAUCCGACUCCUGGGGGCACCUGGGUGGCUCAGUCAGUUAAGCUUCUGACUUCAGCUCAGGUCAUGACCUUGGAGUUCACAAGUUCGAGCCCUGCGUUGGGCUCUGUGCUCCAGCUCAGAGCCUGGAGCCUACUAUGAAUUCUGUGUCUCCCUCUCUCUCUGCACCACCUCCCCCACUCAUGCUCUGUCUCUCUUUUUUAAAAAUAAAAAAACAUUUAAAAAAUGAAAAAAAGAAGAAAACAUCUGACUCUUGCUUUCAGCUCAGGUCAUGAUCUCGGAGUUUUGUGGGUUCAAGCCCCACUUUGGGUUCUGUGCAGGCAGCAUGGAGCCUGUUUGGGAUCCUCUGUCCCUCUCUCUGACCCUCCCCCACUUGGGCUGUGUCUCGAAAAUAAAUAAAUAAACUAAAAAAAAACCCCAAAAACAAAACCAACCUUCUUGAUAUAGUUUAACUUCCUCCUGAAAAAGUCCAGAGAGAUUAAAUGUCUUGCCCCAAAUUUUAUA